ACAAGAUUGAUCACAUCACAAUUUCGUCCGAGCAUUGUGUGCUUCACUGUGUGGAGGAUGUAAGUCCAUAUGUUUGGGUUUCAGCUCUGUUUCUGCAUUCAUAUAUAUGUUUAAAUCAUAUUCUCUCGAAACAUAGUUAUGCGACAUAUUAAUAUACUCCUACAUAUCAAUAUUCUCUCGAAACAUAGUUGUAGCUUUAAUCAAAUUUCGAGUACGCACGGUGUUACACCUUUUUGUUAUAUUGUAUAUUUUUCUCCUUUCCCUUUUUUAGCCUGUUGUUUUCAUGUUUUCUUUUAGUAUUUAUAUUUAUAUAUUAGCGUGUUCAUAUUUUUAUUUAUUAUUGAUUUCUAUCCUUUUAUUGAUUUUUCAUACUCCCUCAAGGAAGAUGUACUUAAGCAAGCGAGAAGUCUUUAAAAUUGGCUAAGCUUCCUGUGAAAGCCUUGUUGCGACCUUCAAAUGUCUAGUUUAACUUUUAAUAGUGGUUUUUGUGUCUAUCUAGGUUAUAGUUAUAGGUAUUGCAGUUCAGAUUUAUAAAAUCUUACAGCUUCUCACGAGGCGUCAAGGAUGUGAGUAGGAGUUGUCAGGGAUAAGUUCUUCAAUUGGAUUUUAGCAAGGCGCUUGAUAGGGUCAAAUAGGGCUUUUUGAUAAGGUCAUGGAGAGGAAAGGUUAUGAAGAUAUAUCGAGGGCUUGGACUUGGGGUAAUCUUUCCUCUUUUUAUUUCUCUACAAUUUGGAGGGUUAAGGCUUCUAGGGGUUUUCGUCGAGGGGACCCAAUGCCCGUCUUUAUGUUUACAUUUGUUGUUAACCUUCUGAGUAGGGAUUUAGGUUAGAGCAGGGUCUAAAGUUGCAGUAUCGAAAGAUGUAUUAGACAGUCGAGUCUUGAUGGGGGUGUUGGCAUCGGUCGAUACUUAACAAAAAGCUAUAUAUUCCUUGAAAAUAGGAAAAUAAUAUUUUAAAAAAAAGAAUAAAGUAAAACAAUAAAUUAAAUACGUACAAAGUUAUCAUUUAAUACAUAUAAAUAUAUAACAUUGUAUAAGUCAUAUGAUUCAUAACAGUUAGACCAUAAAGUAUAGCCACUGCCAAUACUGAUAUGUGUGGGCUGAUACGUAUAUAUAUAUCAAAUGUUUAAACGAAUUCCCAUUGUCAACAUCUACUGCAAAGUGUUAUUGUUCAAAGAAACUAAGUACCAUACUGUGGUGGGUUUGUUCACUCUUUGUUUUUCUUCUGUGCAAAUUAUUUAAGACUAAGAUAUUAAUUGGCUGAAAAGUGGUAAUACUUGCUUCCCUUCUGUGGUUUGCAGAUAACUAAGGUUGUCUAUGUUUCUCGUGUUCCGCUGCGCCGCUAGUGUUUGUCGCUCGUGUGCUAACUGCUAAAAAGAAAACACACAAAUCUCGAGGCUCAUACCAUUACUAGUGAUAUCGUUGGAUGAUGCUGUUUGCUCUCUAAGGAAAUUGAGGUACAUUACAUUAUAUAGUAGUUUUUGAACCUUGAAGCUUUGUUCACUGUUUUAUCCAAAUUGAUUAUUUUACACUUAAGGGUGUAUUGGGAUCUUGAUUCUUGUCUUAAAAUACUCCAACAAACGAUUGUGAUUGCUGGUUUUCUGGGGUUGGUAAUGGGUUCCUCGCACCAGACCAUGCUUGUGAAUUUUUGUUUCUUUAGUUAAAUUUUGUGGUACUGUAGAAAAGCCCAUCAGCUUAUUGCCAAAAUUUGGGCUCUUUUUACUGUUACUCCAUUUUUUACUGUUGAAGUGGUGGGAGUAGAGAAUUUUCCUUCACAGGAUACUCCUGUUAUAUAUGUGUCCAACCACCAGAGCUUUUUAGACACAUAUGUUCUUCUCACUCUGGGUAGUAGCUUCAAGUUCAUCAGAUUUUUUUCUUUUCUGUUGUUGGAUGGGACGUGUUUUUAAUGGGUGUUAUUCCUUUGAAGCGCAUGGACAACAGAUGCCAAUUGGUAACUUGAUUCCUUCCCUUGAAAAUAUUAUUUCACCUUUGAUGCAAAAAAUUAAUCAAUUUGUUUAGGUUGGAUUGCCAUUUGGGAAAUUUAUAUUAUAGUACUUGUUCUAGUAAACUAUUGUUCUUCUCUUGAACUAUACAAGUUAUAUUUUUUGUCUUUAUGAAUGUAACAAACUCUCAAACGAUGCAUGGAUCUUGUGAAGAAGGGAGGAUCUAUUUUUUUCUUUCCAGAGGGUACGGAAUAAAGAUGGAAAAUUAGGGGUAUUCAAGGUGUGGUCUAUUGAUGGUUCUUACUCCCAACAUUACCAUAUGGUAUUACUUACGUAAAGGUAGUAGGAAAGUUUCAGAUGCUCGUGUGAUGAGGAUUUUUUUUCUUCAUCUUCUAAACUACAUAGAGGAGCAUUAUUCUGAAGUCUAACUAUAAAAAAAUCACAACUUCUAUUUAUACCCUGCUGAAUUUAGUAUGUUCACACACUGCCUUUUGUACUAUAGUCUUAAUUGCAAUAGGGAUGGCCUAGAAAAUAUUUAUAUAGGAAGAAUUAUGGAUGUCCUCAAAAGAUUUGAUUUCAAACAAAAGGGUUGUGCUUAUAAAAUUUCUUUAAAGAUCUCCAUAUGUUGUUUUUACUUGCCCAAAAGCUUGCCUUUCUUAUUGUGGAUAAUGGUAGUAGGAAAUAUGCUCUAAUGAUGACCUUCGUUUUAUGCUUUGUAUAUAUAUAUAUAUAUUUUCUUUUAGUGAUCAAAAUAGGUUGAUCUUUUCAUCUUCCAUUUAUAAUAAGUAAUUGAAUAAUGCAGUUUGGGUAAAUUUAGCACGUUUUCUUGACUUUGCUAUUAUUUUUAAAUAUGUGCAGGAAGACUGCUUCUACGACCUGCCUUACAAUAUUGGGUAUCAAAUUACCGUGCUACGUUUACGGAAGACAAGGAACGAAAUUAUGAAGUGUACUCUCUCUAUAUAUGUAGAUAUAUACUUUGAUUGAAAAACUGUGG
This 2935-nucleotide long non-coding RNA is filed under the name Panax ginseng (ginseng). RNAcentral describes it as "long non-coding RNA (PGIN_LNC017106)". The record is from RNAcentral. Lineage: Eukaryota; Viridiplantae; Streptophyta; Magnoliopsida; Apiales; Araliaceae.